UGAAAGCUGAAUCAAAAUUCGAUUGAUAAAGCACUAGGGUAUAUCUGAUUUCACUUGGACCAAUUAUCAAUUCCAGCUAUUUUGAUUAAUAAUCCAAAUUUAAUUAUUAAUGCAAGGAUAAAUAAUCUUAAAUUAUUUAAUAAUCUCUCCCGAGUCUUAUUAAAUAUACUAAUUAAAACCUAUAAUCUAUCUUCCAAUAGUAAAAUAGAUUUCAAUUAGUUCAAUAAGCACAGUGAUUAUUUCCA
Molecule: long non-coding RNA, 245 nt
Filed under: Elaeis guineensis (African oil palm)
Lineage: Eukaryota; Viridiplantae; Streptophyta; Magnoliopsida; Arecales; Arecaceae
Description: long non-coding RNA (EGUI_LNC015441)
Source: RNAcentral